UUGCAAAUCCAAUGAAAAUAGUUGAUGAUAAGUGAGAUAUCAAACGAAAAGCUUUUGAUAUGAUAACAAAAAGAAGUAAUUCAGAUUGAGCUAAUGACCACAUGAUAGUCUUAAGAUGUGAAAGAUAGAUGGUAGGAAAUCAUUUUCAUUCACUCUCUUCUGAAUCAUCACCACUACUGUCUUGUGAAUCAAUUUUCAUAGCCUUCACAACAUUGCUUGCUUUAAAAUCUUCAACAGCCUUGUCAAAAGUGCACCUCACAUGCCUACACAUCAACAUUAGAUUUUGACAUGCAUCUUUCAAUACCUCUCUUGCUGGAUCACCUACAAAUUUUCACAUAGAACAACUAAAGGAACUUGAACCCAACCAAAGUACUUGAAAAAGAGUGUUAUAUUGAGUUUACCAGUGGUUUGAACUAUAAUAUUAACUCGAGCCUCUAAAGGAUGAGGAAUACUGUAGCCACAGGAUGUAACCCUUGAGCUGCAUAACAUAAAAAUGAUAGCUUCCACUUUCAAUACAAUCACUUAAAACAAAGAAAACCCAGCAUGAAUCAAAGCCAAAAACAGAGGUGAGUGAACUGACUCUUGAUUCAAAGUGAAUCUAACAACGUUAGCUAUGGUAUGAUCUUCAUCAGUUAAAGAAAAAGUGGCAGGACUAUUAUCAGUGAAAGACCCGUGUUCUAUUGUUUCCUUUAAUCCAAUUUCUAGAUUUCCAAACCAAGAAACAAAACUAUUAAAAGGAUGAAAUUUAAUCCAAUAAUCAUUGGGAAAACAUAUUUUUAAAUAAAAAAUAAGGUUGUAUCUUCCUUACCGGUUCCAAUGGACAGAACAUAGUUUCACCGAUAGAGAGGAACAGAAAACGUGAGAAGGAGGCUGCUUUCUGAUUGGUGUUCAAAGUCCAGUUGUAACGCCAAAGAGAGGUAAGACAGAAAGGUAGAAGCGUGAAUCGGUGGAGAUAGAAAGGUAAGACAGAAAUGUGAGGAGAGUGGAGAAGAAAGGUAGAAGGAAGAAACAGAAUACGGUGGAUUUUGGGUAAGACAGAAGCGUGAAUCAGGAGGGUAAAACAGGGACCAAAACUCAAUCCAGACCUAAACUGAGCAC
RNAcentral lists this long non-coding RNA (1098 nucleotides) under Gossypium barbadense (sea-island cotton). RNAcentral describes it as "long non-coding RNA (GBAR_LNC010467)". The record is from RNAcentral. Lineage: Eukaryota; Viridiplantae; Streptophyta; Magnoliopsida; Malvales; Malvaceae.